UUCUGUCUCCAAGUCAACAACACUUGGUUUUUGACAGGAAUAUGAAAAGUUCCGUAUAUGACAUCUUUGCUGAAGUUUCUCAAUCAAAAUUUCCUGGAUUUGAAAAGGCUGUCUGGUGGGAGUGCACCCAGGAGGAAAAUGAAGUAAUCUUUGUUCCCAGUGGAUGGUAUCAUCAAGUUCAUAAUCUGGAGGAUACCAUAUCCAUAAAUCAUAACUGGUUCAAUGGAUAUAAUUUAUUUUGGGUGUGGGAUUUGCUUUUAAAAGAUUACAACGAGGCUAGUGAAUACAUUGAAGACCUCAAGGGAUGUGAUGACUUUGAGGAGCUUUGCCAACGAAAUCUUG
RNAcentral lists this unclassified non-coding RNA (342 nucleotides) under Hevea brasiliensis (rubber tree). Lineage: Eukaryota; Viridiplantae; Streptophyta; Magnoliopsida; Malpighiales; Euphorbiaceae. The record is from RNAcentral.